Molecule: ribosomal RNA, 254 nt
Filed under: uncultured Pseudomonas sp.
Lineage: Bacteria; Pseudomonadati; Pseudomonadota; Gammaproteobacteria; Pseudomonadales; Pseudomonadaceae
Description: partial 16S ribosomal RNA
Rfam family: Bacterial small subunit ribosomal RNA
Source: RNAcentral
CGGGUGAGUAAUGCCUAGGAAUCUGCCUGGUAGUGGGGGACAACGUUUCGAAAGGAACGCUAAUACCGCAUACGUCCUACGGGAGAAAGCAGGGGACCUUCGGGCCUUGCGCUAUCAGAUGAGCCUAGGUCGGAUUAGCUAGUUGGUGAGGUAAUGGCUCACCAAGGCGACGAUCCGUAACUGGUCUGAGAGGAUGAUCAGUCACACUGGAACUGAGACACGGUCCAGACUCCUACGGGAGGCAGCAGGCCGAA